RNAcentral lists this ribosomal RNA (390 nucleotides) under uncultured bacterium. RNAcentral's name for it is "bacterial SSU rRNA". It matches the Rfam family "Bacterial small subunit ribosomal RNA", at positions 30 to 416 of the family's 1533-position model. The record is from RNAcentral.
AUUGAACGCUGGCGGCAUGCUUUACACAUGCAAGUCGAACGGCAGCACGGGAGCUUGCUCCUGGUGGCGAGUGGCGAACGGGUGAGUAAUGCAUCGGAACGUAUCCAGUAGUGGGGGAUAGCCCGGCGAAAGCCGGAUUAAUACCGCAUAUUUCCUGAGGGAGAAAGCGGGGGGACCUUCGGGCCUCGCGCUACUGGAGCGGCUGAUGUCGGAUUAGCUAGUUGGUGAGGUAAAGGCUCACCAAGGCGACGAUACCGUAGCUGGUCUGAGAGGAUGAUCAGCCACACUGGGACUGAGACACGGCCCAGACUCCUACGGGAGGCAGCAGUGGGGAAUUUUGGACAAUGGGCGCAAGCCUGAUCCAGCCAUGCCGCGUGAGUGAAGAAGGCC